GCCCAGGACUUUGUGCGGGGUG
RNAcentral lists this microRNA (22 nucleotides) under Homo sapiens (human). RNAcentral describes it as "hsa-miR-6840-3p". Lineage: Eukaryota; Metazoa; Chordata; Mammalia; Primates; Hominidae. The record is from miRBase by way of RNAcentral.